RNAcentral lists this long non-coding RNA (277 nucleotides) under Medicago truncatula (barrel medic). RNAcentral describes it as "lncRNA gene38332". The record is from RNAcentral. Lineage: Eukaryota; Viridiplantae; Streptophyta; Magnoliopsida; Fabales; Fabaceae.
UGAAAUGGUUGAGUGGGCUAUUUAUAGAAUUCUGAGUCUGCCUUCACUCGCCUCGCGAGCUGCUUCAUUCGCCAUGUAAGCUCGCCUUCUACUAGCCAUUGCGAGUUGGUGGCGUGUGAUCUUUGUUGCAUUCUGGAAUUGCUCGCCUUUGCUGCUUGCCAUGGCGAGUUGGAGGCGAGUGAUCUCCUUUUUCUGCCUUUUUGUACUUUUCUCGAUUUUCUUCUCUUUGCUUGAUGUCUUGAGUUCGAAUCCUGCACAAAUGGGUGAAGUAAGAUAG